Molecule: ribosomal RNA, 486 nt
Filed under: uncultured bacterium
Lineage: Bacteria
Description: bacterial SSU rRNA
Rfam family: Bacterial small subunit ribosomal RNA
Source: RNAcentral
AGAGUUUGAUCCUGGCUCAGAAUGAACGUUGGCGGCGUGGAUUAGGCAUGCGAGUCGUGCGAGAACCGUAGCAAUACGGGGACAGCGGCGAAAGGGAGAGGAACACGUGGAUACCUACCCUCAGGUUCAGGAUAGCUAUGGGAAACUAUAGGUAAUACUGAAUAAUAUCUCCGGAUCAAAGGUGUGAUUCCGCCGGAGGAGGGGUCCGCGUCCUAUUAGCUAGUUGGUGAGGUAAUGGCUCACCAAGGCGAAGAUGGGUACGGGAUGUGAGAGCAUGAUCCCGCUCAUUGGGACUGAGACACUGCCCAGACACCUACGGGUGGCUGCAGUCGAGAAUCUUCGGCAAUGGGGGAAACCCUGACCGAGCGACGCCGCGUGUGAGAUGAAGGCCUUCGGGUUGUAAAUCACUGUCGUAGAGGAGGAAGUGUAGGUGGGUUCUCCCACUUAUUUGACCUAUUCUAGGAGGAAGGACGGGCUAAGUUCGUG